This 253-nucleotide ribosomal RNA is filed under the name uncultured bacterium. RNAcentral describes it as "partial 16S ribosomal RNA". It matches the Rfam family "Bacterial small subunit ribosomal RNA", at positions 524 to 776 of the family's 1533-position model. The record is from RNAcentral.
UACGGAGGGAGCUAGCGUUGUUCGGAAUUACUGGGCUUAAAGCGUGCGUAGGCGGCCUAGCAAGUCGGGUGUGAAAGCCCUCGGCUCAACCGAGGAACUGCGUCUGAUACUGGAUGGCUUGAGUUCGGGAGAGGGAUGCGGAAUUCCAGGUGUAGCGGUGAAAUGCGUAGAUAUCUGGAGGAACACCGGUGGCGAAGGCGGUAUCCUGGACCGAUACUGACGCUGAGGAGCGAAAGCCAGGGGAGCAAACGGG